UGGUGGAGUGAUUUGUCUGGUUAAUUCCGAUAACGAACGAGACCUUAACCUGCUAAAUAGCCCAGUCGACUAUGGUUGGCUGCUGGCUUCUUAGAGGGACUAUUGGCGUUUAGCCAAUGGAAGUUUGAGGCAAUAACA
RNAcentral lists this ribosomal RNA (138 nucleotides) under uncultured eukaryote. Its description in RNAcentral is "partial 18S ribosomal RNA". It matches the Rfam family "Eukaryotic small subunit ribosomal RNA", at positions 1299 to 1458 of the family's 1831-position model. The record is from RNAcentral.